RNAcentral lists this long non-coding RNA (1158 nucleotides) under Oncorhynchus kisutch (coho salmon). RNAcentral's name for it is "lncRNA (ENSOKIG00005001943.1)". Lineage: Eukaryota; Metazoa; Chordata; Actinopteri; Salmoniformes; Salmonidae. The record is from RNAcentral.
AUGGGAAGUAGACGAACAACUAGGAGGAGAGACAGAAUGGGUAGUAGACGAACAACUAGGAGGAGAGACAGAAUGGGAAGUAGACGAACAACUAGGAGGAGAGACAGAAUGGGAAGUAGACGAACAACUAGGAGGAGAGACAGAAUGGGAAGUAGACGAACAACUAGGAGGAGAGACAGAAUGGGAAGUAGACGAACAACUAGGAGGAGAGACAGAAUGGGAAGUAGACGAACAACUAGGAGGAGAGACAGAAUGGGAAGUAGACGAACAACUAGGAGGAGAGACAGAAUGGGAAGUAGACGAACAACUAGGAGGAGAGACAGAAUGGGAAGUAGACGAACAACUAGGAGGAGAGACAGAAUGGGAGGUAGACGAACAACUAGGAGGAGAGACAGAAUGGGGGUAGACGAACAACUAGGAGGAGAGACAGAAUGGGAAGUAGACGAACAACUAGGAGGAGAGACAGAAUGGGUAGUAGACGAACAACUAGGAGGAGAGACAGAAUGGGAGGUAGACGAACAACUAGGAGGAGAGACAGAAUGGGAAGUAGACGAACAACUAGGAGGAGAGACAGAAUGGGAAGUAGACGAACAACUAGGAGGAGAGACAGAAUGGGAAGUAGACGAACAACUAGGAGGAGAGACAGAAUGGGAGGUAGACGAACAACUAGGAGGAGAGACAGAAUGGGUAGUAGAUGAACAACUAAGAGGAGAGACAGAAUGGGAAGUAGAUGAACAACUAGGAGGAGAGACAGAAUGGGUAGUAGACGAACAACUAGGAGGAGAGACAGAAUGGGAAGUAGACGAACAACUAGGAGAGACAGAAUGGGAGGUAGACGAACAACUAGGAAGAGAGACAGAAUGGGAAGUAGACGAACAACUAGGAGGAGAGACAGAAUGGGAAGUAGACAAACAACUAGGAGGAGAGACAGAAUGGGAAGUUGACGAACAACUAGGAGGAGAGACAGAAUGGGAAGUAGACGAACAACUAGGAGGAGAGACAGAAUGGGAAGUAGACGAACAACUAGGAGGAGAGACAGAAUGGGAAGUAGACAAACAACUAGGAGGAGAGACAGAAUGGGAAGUAGAUGAACAACUAGGAGGAGAGACAGAAUGGGAAGUAGACAAACAACUAGGAGGAGAGACAGAAUGGGAGUAG